AACGAACGCUGGCGGCAUGCCUAACACAUGCAAGUCGAACGAGACCUUCGGGUCUAGUGGCGCACGGGUGCGUAACGCGUGGGAACCUGCCCUUAGGUUCGGAAUAACUCCCCGAAAGGGGUGCUAAUACCGGAUAAUGUCUUCGGACCAAAGAUUUAUCGCCUUUGGAUGGGCCCGCGUUGGAUUAGCUAGUUGGUAGGGUAAAAGCCUACCAAGGCGACGAUCCAUAGCUGGUCUGAGAGGAUGAUCAGCCACACUGGGACUGAGACACGGCCCAGACUCCUACGGGGGGCAGCAGUGGGGAAUAUGGGACAAUGGGCGAAAGCCUGAUCCAGCAAUGCCGCGUGAGUGAUGAAGGCCUUAGGGUUGUAAAGCUCUUUUACCCGGGAUGAUAAUGACAGUACCGGGAGAAUAUGCUCCGGCUAACUCC
RNAcentral lists this ribosomal RNA (430 nucleotides) under uncultured bacterium. Its description in RNAcentral is "partial 16S ribosomal RNA". It matches the Rfam family "Bacterial small subunit ribosomal RNA", at positions 29 to 504 of the family's 1533-position model. The record is from RNAcentral.